RNAcentral lists this ribosomal RNA (441 nucleotides) under uncultured Leotiomycetes. Its description in RNAcentral is "eukaryotic LSU rRNA". The stretch from base 81 to 234 matches the Rfam family "5.8S ribosomal RNA". The record is from RNAcentral. Lineage: Eukaryota; Fungi; Ascomycota; Leotiomycetes.
UAAGCCUAUGUCUUACACACACUAUAAAAGUUUCUGAAUGUCAUUAUCGUUGGUCUUGACUGACCGAUAAAACCAUAUACAACUUUCAGCAACGGAUCUCUUGGCUCUCGCAUCGAUGAAGAACGCAGCGAAAUGCGAUAAGUAAUGUGAAUUGCAGAAUUCAGUGAAUCAUCGAAUCUUUGAACGCACCUUGCGCCCUUUGGUAUUCCGAAGGGCAUGCCUGUUUGAGUGUCAUUACAACCCUCAAGCUCUGCUUGGUAUUGGGUGUCACCCCCGGGUGCGCCUUAAAAUCAGUGGCGGUGCCGUCUGGCUUCAAGCGUAGUAAUACUUCUCGCUUUGGAGUCCGGGUGAGCGUCUUGCCAAAACCCCCAUAUUUUUUCAGGUUGACCUCGGAUCAGGUAGGGAUACCCGCUGAACUUAAGCAUAUCAAUAAGCGGAGGA